Molecule: ribosomal RNA, 254 nt
Filed under: uncultured bacterium
Lineage: Bacteria
Description: partial 16S ribosomal RNA
Rfam family: Bacterial small subunit ribosomal RNA
Source: RNAcentral
CACGUAGGCACCAAGCGUUAUCCGGAUUUAUUGGGCGUAAAGAGCUCGUAGGCGGUUCAGUAAGUCGGGUGUGAAAACUCAGGGCUUAACCCUGAGCUGUCACUCGAUACUGCUGUGACUUGAGUUCGGUAGGGGAGCAGGGAAUUCCUAGUGUAGCGGUGAAAUGCGCAGAUAUUAGGAGGAACACCGGUGGCGAAGGCGCUGCUCUGGGCCGAUACUGACGCUGAGGAGCGAAAGCAUGGGUAGCAAACAGG